Molecule: long non-coding RNA, 207 nt
Organism: Lepisosteus oculatus (spotted gar)
Lineage: Eukaryota; Metazoa; Chordata; Actinopteri; Semionotiformes; Lepisosteidae
Source: RefSeq, a predicted model, not a curated record
UGCACACCACCGACACAGCCGGCUGUAAUGCCAGUACGGGGAAAGAAAGGAGUCUCAGACGCCAAGGAAAACAGAAAACCGGACUGGGUGAGGGUUUGCCCUGUGCAGCAGACUUACGUGAUCCUCAGAGCUCCUGGUCUGUGAGGGCUGCAUGUCGACUGUACAGCUCCAGCUAUAUCGACAUACAACACACAACUGGUAACCCAC